This 797-nucleotide long non-coding RNA is filed under the name Populus trichocarpa (black cottonwood). Its description in RNAcentral is "long non-coding RNA (PTRI_LNC001304)". The record is from RNAcentral. Lineage: Eukaryota; Viridiplantae; Streptophyta; Magnoliopsida; Malpighiales; Salicaceae.
CUCUUGAAGGAAAAUCAUGGAAGAAACCCCAUCAGUACUACUGAUCAUGCCUUGUCAAUCUGCAAGCAUAUGCACUAUAUAUCCAUGAUAAGGACACGAUGAAUCGAUGAGGCCAACUUCUUUAAAAAAUCUCAAGAAAGCCAAGCUAAAUCUCUUGUUCAAUCAAUCGCAGAUAACCCUGUCCUCGUCUCAUUACGCUAAGAAUGUUAUGUAUACAGUACUGUGCCUGUCCUCGUCUCAUUACGCUAAGAAUGUUAUGUAUACAGAGUACUGUGCCUCGUGAUGGCCUUGCCAGCACCAACAGUUGGCUUAUUUGCUGUCUUCUUCCCUCCAUUCGUCCAAGAAAUUCAUUUGUUUUGGCUCCCAUUGCUAUUCUGCAGAAGAUCGAGCUAGCUCAUGCGACGUUUACAGUGCCAGUAGCAGCGUUGAUAGUUCCCUUUCUUGCACCAUGCAUGCUUUUAGGGCCAGUCCCUGAACUGCUAGCCUCAAACCCCCCCCCCCCCCCCCCAUGUUCAUCCUUCUUGACACAGUAAAGUGAAUUAUUGUCUACUCCUUGUGUUUUAUUUGUGUUGAGCUGCUACCAAUCUAGUUUUUUUCCUUUCAAAAUACCUUUCCAGGCAUAAAUUAAUUGAAAGAAACCUGGAAGUAGCUUGGCUUGGUUAUUUUAUAAUAAAGGAACUAAUGAAGCUUUAAAGUAAUUAACGAUCAUAGACAGUCCAUGGAUUAACCUUUUUUUUCCUCCUAAAACCAGAGAAUUUAGGUCAUUAUAUAGCUAAAAAACACAGUAUUAAAUUAUU